UGGGGAAUAUUGGACAAUGGGCGCAAGCCUGAUCCAGCAACGCCGCGUGUGUGAAGAAGGCCUUCGGGUUGUAAAGCACUUUUAUCAGGAGCGAAACGCUGUCGGCUAAUACCCGGCGGAACUGACGGUACCUGAGGAAUAAGCACCGGCUAACUUCGUGCCAGCAGCCGCGGUAAUACGAAGGGUGCAAGCGUUAAUCGGAAUUACUGGGCGUAAAGCGUGCGUAGGCGGUUUCUUAAGUCUGCUGUGAAAUCCCCGGGCUCAACCUGGGAAUGGCAGUGGAUACUGGGAGGCUAGAGUGUGUCAGAGGGUGGUGGAAUUCCCGGUGUAGCGGUGAAAUGCGUAGAGAUCGGGAGGAACAUCAGUGGCGAAGGCGGCCACCUGGGACAACACUGACGCUGAGGCACGAAAGCGUGGGGAGCAAACAGGAUUAGAUACCCUGGUAGUCCACGCCCUAAACGAUGCGAACUGGAUGUUGGUCUCAACUCGGAGAUCAGUGUCGAAGCUAACGCGUUAAGUUCGCCGCCUGGGGAGUACGGUCGCAAGACUGAAACUCAAAUGAAUUGAC
This 568-nucleotide ribosomal RNA is filed under the name uncultured bacterium. Its description in RNAcentral is "partial 16S ribosomal RNA". It matches the Rfam family "Bacterial small subunit ribosomal RNA", at positions 355 to 914 of the family's 1533-position model. The record is from RNAcentral.